Molecule: ribosomal RNA, 492 nt
Filed under: uncultured bacterium
Lineage: Bacteria
Description: partial 16S ribosomal RNA
Rfam family: Bacterial small subunit ribosomal RNA
Source: RNAcentral
AGUGAACGCUGGCGAUAGGCCUAACACAUGCAAGUCGAACGGCAGCACAGUAAGAGCUUGCUCUUACGGGUGGCGAGUGGCGGACGGGUGAGGAAUACAUCGGAAUCUACUUUUUCGUGGGGGAUAACGUAGGGAAACUUACGCUAAUACCGCAUACGACCUACGGGUGAAAGCAGGGGAUCUUCGGACCUUGCGCGAUUGAAUGAGCCGAUGUCGGAUUAGCUAGUUGGCGGGGUAAAGGCCCACCAAGGCGACGAUCCGUAGCUGGUCUGAGAGGAUGAUCAGCCACACUGGAACUGAGACACGGUCCAGACUCCUACGGGAGGCAGCAGUGGGGAAUAUUGGGCAAUGGGCGCAAGCCUGAUCCAGCCAUACCGCGUGGGUGAAGAAGGCCUUCGGGUUGUAAAGCCCUUUUGUUGGGAAAGAAAAGCAGCAGGUUAAUACCCCGCUGUUCUGACGGUACCCAAAGAAUAAGCACCGGCUAACUUCGUG